AGCAGGGCACACCACACGUGCUAACCUCAACGUAGGAGGGACCCAGGAGGCACGGCAGGACACUGGAUGAAUGCAGCAGAAUGCCCGGUAAGGGCAGGAAAUGGCCAGUACUUACCCACAGGAAGAAUAAUAAAGCAAUUCUUCUGUUGCAAGGAACUCUGAAGGACCACAACAGAAUACAGAAAUAGAGUUGAGAGGAACAGCAAAAGAGAUCUGAGGCAAGAACUUCAUCACUGCACCAGCGCCUCACACCAAAAAGGUGAUUUUUUUCCCCUUCAGUUCUUGCACUAUGGAAAUCCUAUCCUGAGUUGCAAACCAAUGUUUUAGGGCCCAUUUUAGUGCCCAGCCUUGUACAUGGUAUAAAGUUAUAUAGAUACAUAUAAGCAUAUGGUUCAAGUUCCUGCCUAUGUAACCU
Alligator sinensis (Chinese alligator) is the source of this 415-nucleotide long non-coding RNA. RefSeq lists it as uncharacterized. The transcript is spliced from 3 exons. Lineage: Eukaryota; Metazoa; Chordata; Crocodylia; Alligatoridae. The record is from RefSeq and is a predicted model, not a curated record.